UAGGGAAUAUUGCAAAAUGGGCGAAAGCCCGAUGCAGCAACGCCGCGUGGGCGAUGAAGGCCUUCGGGUCGUAAAGCCCUUUUUGAGGGGAUGAGGAAGGACAGUACCCUCAGAAUAAGCCUCGGCUAACUACGUGCCAGCAGCCGCGGUAAAACGUAGGAGGCGAGCGUUAUCCGGAUUUACUGGGCGUAAAGCGCGUGCAGGCGGAUUGGAGAGUUGGAUGUGAAAGCUCCCGGCUUAACUGGGAGAGGUCGUUCAAUACUUCCAGUCUUGAGUGCAGUAGAGGGAAGUGGAAUUCCGGGUGUAGUGGUGAAAUGCGUAGAUAUCCGGAGGAACACCAGUGGCGAAAACGGCUUCCUGGACUGUAACUGACGCUCAGACGCGAAAGCUAGGGUAGCAAACG
This 403-nucleotide ribosomal RNA is filed under the name uncultured bacterium. RNAcentral describes it as "bacterial SSU rRNA". It matches the Rfam family "Bacterial small subunit ribosomal RNA", at positions 355 to 774 of the family's 1533-position model. The record is from RNAcentral.